GUGGAGAGCUGAAACCUAACAUUUAGAAAGAAACAACUGUGUCUAAGUGCCGGCUGUUUCCACGUCUGAAAGUUAUUACAUGCUUCUGUAACCUGGCUGGAUCACGUACGUGUUUCACUGGGCAGAUAAAUGAAAUAGGUAAACCUUAGCAUACCUUGAACUAUUAGAAAGUUCUGGUAAAGGGAAACCAACGAAUCUGACAGGCCCUAAGUUCUUACUUUCUUUGAAAAGAGAUGGCCCAACCAUAUAGUCCAUAUACAAGUCACAUCUCCCAGAUCUUUCUGGGUAAAAUCCCUCCCUCUCCUUCUCCUUCCCUUUACUUGCAACUCCACAUGCCCACACAAUACUGGAGAAAUGUGUUUGUGCAAGGAGCGGUGCCAGGAGGAAUCAGCCCCUGCAGCUAUGCAGAAACAGGCACCACAGCCCCACUGCUCCUGUGCUGGAAAGGGUUUCUGUAGAAGAUUCCUGCAAAUUAAAAAUUGUCAGCUGAUCUGAUCUGGGCUUCUGAAAAUGUGGAAUGAAAUACACAUUGCACAACAUGAAAAGCAACCACACUGAAGACAGAGCAGGUAAGGGAAACACUUUCACUGUUGUACAUGAGUAAGCCAAACCAGAUACAUAAGCCAAAUACUGUUUUCUUAUGGGAAUGCCCUGUUUUAAGAUGGAUUAUGGUGUUUAGUACAGCAAUAAUCAAUAAUAAUAGUAUUACUACAAUUUGUGACUACACAAAAUAGCAGUGUUGUAUUUGAGGUUGGUUUUCCAACAAGCCCUUGACAGAGAGCUUUCCUUCAACAGGCAGAAGGACUGAUUUACCUUCCUCCACUGGUAUUACUGAGUCCAACGCUUAUUACCUACAUUUAUCUCCAAGGCCUCUAAAUUGUUAUAGGAAACAAAUUGGUCUAAUUUGUUGUUCUACUGCUCUGCUAUCAAACAUCACCAUGUUUUCACAAACACUUAUAACAAUAUGAAAAUCCACAAAUUUAAAGCCAAAAAGUUCAAACCCAAAGUUUUUCCUUUUACAAAAGACUUUAAAAAAACACUCAGCAAAUUAGCUUUUACCCAAUUAAAAGCAUUAUAUCAAUGAAAACCCUGUUUUUUCCCAAUCUUUAACACUACUCAAGAAGACAAAGGCAAGGGUAUUAUCCCAUGUUCAGUGCCAAAAGUAAGUAGCUGUAUUCCACCCACCUAAGUGCUUUCUUUAGUUUAAUUGAAUGGUUGAAUUGAAGUGUUUUCAUUUCCUGAAGUAAAAUGGUGUGCAACAUCCCAGCUCAUUCUUAUCCACCUUCUAUUCAAUCAGCAAUAUGUUCCUGUGGAAGUUUAAACCAUUCCAUUAUGUAUAUAAACUCAUUUGUGAUCUCACAUGCCAGAGGACACUGAUAAAGCAUGUUAUUUAGUCUGAAUUUAAUACUACAGGCUGGAUCAUUUGCUGGGAUUUAUGGCUUAUUGAUGCUCCCACUG
RNAcentral lists this long non-coding RNA (1458 nucleotides) under Anser brachyrhynchus (Pink-footed goose). RNAcentral describes it as "lncRNA (ENSABRG00000019426.1)". The record is from RNAcentral. Lineage: Eukaryota; Metazoa; Chordata; Aves; Anseriformes; Anatidae.